CAUUUUGAAUUUUGUUCGUUUUCCUAUUUUGUUUUCAACUUCAGUUUUGAUUUUGACUUGAGGGUUAUGUUAUGUUUUUAAUUUUGAACUAUCUUUUAAAGAUUUAUUAUUUUAAAUUAAUCCAAUACGAAUAAAUCUUCAAUCAAUAAGUAUUUGAUUGAAGGCUUUUUCCAACUAUGAAGGAAACCAAUAACAUGCAGGCAGAUAUCACAUUGGAUUUUGACAACGCUGACAAAGCUAGAGAAAGAAGAAAACGACGAUCCACAAUUUUUGAAAAAUCUCGAACUUUAGCAAAUAUUUCUGGACUAAAUGAUACAAAUGACAUGAAUGUUGACAAUUCUGACAAUGACUGGGAAAAGAGUUAUAAGGACGAGAUGAAAAAGGAGAUCAAUGAUUGGAAGAGUGUGACACAGUCUCUCAAAAGCGAGAUGGAAGCUUUCUCACAAAAAAUGAAGAACGUAGAAUCUCUGACCGAUAUAGUACCCAGUCAACUUCUAUGUGAGGAUGAAAAGUUAUUCUUGAAAGGUUCCGACCUCUACAAGACCUACUCGGCAAAAAUCGAUUCGACAACUGAAGCCCUGGCAUUGGCUGAGAAAAUGCAGCUGCUGACUGAUAAUCUCAUUUCAAGGUCAAAGCUGGAAGCCAAGUUUACAUCAACUAUCAACAAAAUGUGGCUGCAGCUGAACUCAGAUUACAUUUUCAAUGAUGUGACAGUCGACAAUGACAAUUUAGAAAAUUUGCCUUAUCCUGAACCAUUCCUUCAAGAUUUCAGUUGCAUUUAAUAUGAUAAAAAAUGAUUGGAAAAUUUUUCAAGAUUAAGUAUAUUGUAAUAUUAAAGAUUUUAUAGUAUAUUGUCGUCUUCUAAAUUGUUUGCCAUAAUAAAGUCAUCGAAAUUUAGUGUGUACAAGAUUUCUUUCAGUGCAUUUUAAAUAAUGUACAACUGAUCCAAUCUCAAAAUCCUGUAAUCACUCCACAUACCAAAGUCAUUCAAAAAUAAUGAAUCAAGUUUCAAAAGUUACUUGUCAGUAUCACGAAUCUCGGAGAAGACAUUUGGACAUGGUCAAACCGGGUACGCUUUAAUAUGUCAAAAAGGUUACAAAAUAAAAUACCUGGAAAAAAAAUUGUUGGCUGUUUCAGUUUCACCGAUUUGAUCAUUGACUAGAGAUAAUAAUGACUCUUGUUAAUAAACACUCACUUUAGAACACAUCCGCUAAAGAGUUAUUACUAAUAUUUUGUAUUUAUAUUUUAUAUUCUUCACAACUUUACAUGGUGAAACAUAUAAUAACACAUAUACCUAUAGGUAACACAUAUUAGAAAUCAGGAAACAAUAUUGUAUUUGCUUUUUGGGAUGUGUGUACUGGAUUUAUCGAUAGAAGAUAGAGAUCAUAAUAUGAUGCUCCAGUGAACUCGUUGUAAAGCGUAAGCGAUUUAAUCAUGCUCAAAUGUUUUGACCGAACUUCUUGAAAUCGGACAAGAUUUGUUCCUCUAAUGCCGCAUCCACA
RNAcentral lists this unclassified non-coding RNA (1502 nucleotides) under Nilaparvata lugens (brown planthopper). Its description in RNAcentral is "uncharacterized LOC111064324, transcript variant X4". Lineage: Eukaryota; Metazoa; Arthropoda; Insecta; Hemiptera; Delphacidae. The record is from RNAcentral.